GAUGAACGCUGGCGGCGUGCCUAAUACAUGCAAGUCGAGCGAACGGACGAGAAGCUUGCUUCUCUGAUGUUAGCGGCGGACGGGUGAGUAACACGUGGAUAACCUACCUAUAAGACUGGGAUAACUUCGGGAAACCGGAGCUAAUACCGGAUAAUAUUUUGAACCGCAUGGUUCAAAAGUGAAAGACGGUCUUGCUGUCACUUAUAGAUGGAUCCGCGCUGCAUUAGCUAGUUGGUAAGGUAACGGCUUACCAAGGCAACGAUGCAUAGCCGACCUGAGAGGGUGAUCGGCCACACUGGAACUGAGACACGGUCCAGACUCCUACGGGAGGCAGCAGUAGGGAAUCUUCCGCAAUGGACGAAAGCCUGACGGAGCAACGCCGCGUGAGUGAUGAAGGUCUUCGGAUCGUAAAACUCUGUUAUUAGGGAAGAACAUAUGUGUAAGUAACUGUGCACAUCUUGACGGUACCUAAUCAGAAAGCCACGGCUAACUACGUGCCAGCAGCCGCGGUAAUACGUAGGUGGCAAGCGUUAUCCGGAAUUAUUGGGCGUAAAGCGCGCGUAGGCGGUUUUUUAAGUCUGAUGUGAAAGCCCACGGCUCAACCGUGGAGGGUCAUUGGAAACUGGAAAACUUGAGUGCAGAAGAGGAAAGUGGAAUUCCAUGUGUAGCGGUGAAAUGCGCAGAGAUAUGGAGGAACACCAGUGGCGAAGGCGACUUUCUGGUCUGUAACUGACGCUGAUGUGCGAAAGCGUGGGGAUCAAACAGGAUUAGAUACCCUGGUAGUCCACGCCGUAAACGAUGAGUGCUAAGUGUUAGGGGGUUUCCGCCCCUUAGUGCUGCAGCUAACGCAUUAAGCACUCCGCCUGGGGAGUACGACCGCAAGGUUGAAACUCAAAGGAAUUGACGGGGACCCGCACAAGCGGUGGAGCAUGUGGUUUAAUUCGAAGCAACGCGAAGAACCUUACCAAAUCUUGACAUCCUUUGACAACUCUAGAGAUAGAGCUUUCCCCUUCGGGGGACAAAGUGACAGGUGGUGCAUGGUUGUCGUCAGCUCGUGUCGUGAGAUGUUGGGUUAAGUCCCGCAACGAGCGCAACCCUUAAGCUUAGUUGCCAUCAUUAAGUUGGGCACUCUAAGUUGACUGCCGGUGACAAACCGGAGGAAGGUGGGGAUGACGUCAAAUCAUCAUGCCCCUUAUGAUUUGGGCUACACACGUGCUACAAUGGACAAUACAAAGGGCAGCGAAACCGCGAGGUCAAGCAAAUCCCAUAAAGUUGUUCUCAGUUCGGAUUGUAGUCUGCAACUCGACUACAUGAAGCUGGAAUCGCUAGUAAUCGUAGAUCAGCAUGCUACGGUGAAUACGUUCCCGGGUCU
This 1372-nucleotide ribosomal RNA is filed under the name uncultured bacterium. Its description in RNAcentral is "bacterial SSU rRNA". It matches the Rfam family "Bacterial small subunit ribosomal RNA", at positions 28 to 1381 of the family's 1533-position model. The record is from RNAcentral.